RNAcentral lists this ribosomal RNA (200 nucleotides) under uncultured bacterium. RNAcentral's name for it is "partial 16S ribosomal RNA". It matches the Rfam family "Bacterial small subunit ribosomal RNA", at positions 29 to 257 of the family's 1533-position model. The record is from RNAcentral.
AACGAACGCUGGCGGCAGGCUUAACACAUGCAAGUCGAACGCCCCGCAAGGGGAGUGGCAGACGGGUGAGUAACGCGUGGGAAUCUACCCAGUUCUACGGAACAACACAGGGAAACUUGUGCUAAUACCGUAUACGCCCCAAGGGGGAAAGAUUUAUCGGAAUUGGAUGAGCCCGCGUUGGAUUAGCUAGGUUGGUGGGG